CCCGGGUGCAGACAUGGCACCGCUUGGCUAAGCCAUACUGUGUUACCAAGACUCCCUGGGUGGCAGCAAAAAAGUCAACAAGGAAAUAAAACUCCACCACCUGGCGUAUUAGUUGGGGAUAAAGCUAUACACAGAUUGAGCAUGGAUUAUUUGCAUCAACUGUAGAAAGCAAUUCAUGAACAAAGAAAAGUCCACAGUUUGGGAGAAUAGACCAGAAUAUGAGAGAGGAGGCAAAACACAUCAUAUUCUUGGGAAGGAAGAUGGCAGAAGCUGCAUUGGAAAACAGUCAGCUCUAUCCUUUGGCCAUAGCAUUCUGAAAAGAAGAGAAAUCUGAAAGCAUUCUACACCCACAGCGAGCAGCAAGCAGGCCUUCUUCUGAAUUAGCAGUCCCCAUCAUGUGAGGACACACAGCAGUUUCCUCCAGCAGAAUCACCAAGCCCUGCAGCAACCUCAGGAGCCAAGAGUGAGAAGAUCUCCUCGUCAGGGUGCAUGUAGGGGUGUGAAUUAAGUGAUAGUGGGAUUUCUGCUUAUUAUGGGACCCCGAGAGACCCUGGGACACAUGGGGACUUCGGUUAUUCUCAACCCGCCUACUGCAGAACUGAAAACAUUGGAUUGUUUUGCGAUUUUCUCUCUUUUUUUAAAUUUAACUUUGUUCAGACACA
This 662-nucleotide long non-coding RNA is filed under the name Equus asinus (donkey). RNAcentral's name for it is "lncRNA (ENSEASG00005024626.1)". The record is from RNAcentral. Lineage: Eukaryota; Metazoa; Chordata; Mammalia; Perissodactyla; Equidae.